UAGGGAAUCUUCCACAAUGGGCGCAAGCCUGAUGGAGCAACACCGCGUGAGUGAAGAAGGGUUUCGGCUCGUAAAGCUCUGUUGUUAAAGAAGAACACGUAUGAGAGUAACUGUUCAUACGUUGACGGUAUUUAACCAGAAAGUCACGGCUAACUACGUGCCAA
RNAcentral lists this ribosomal RNA (164 nucleotides) under uncultured bacterium. Its description in RNAcentral is "partial 16S ribosomal RNA". It matches the Rfam family "Bacterial small subunit ribosomal RNA", at positions 355 to 511 of the family's 1533-position model. The record is from RNAcentral.